This 82-nucleotide transfer RNA is filed under the name Toxocara canis (dog roundworm). It matches the Rfam family "tRNA". Rfam says of the family: Transfer RNA (tRNA) molecules are approximately 80 nucleotides in length. Their secondary structure includes four short double-helical elements and three loops (D, anti-codon, and T loops). Further hydrogen bonds mediate the characteristic L-shaped molecular structure. tRNAs have two regions of fundamental functional importance: the anti-codon, which is responsible for specific mRNA codon recognition, and the 3' end, to which the tRNAs corresponding amino acid is attached (by aminoacyl-tRNA synthetases). tRNAs cope with the degeneracy of the genetic code in two manners: having more than one tRNA (with a specific anti-codon) for a particular amino acid; and 'wobble' base-pairing, i.e. permitting non-standard base-pairing at the 3rd anti-codon position. Lineage: Eukaryota; Metazoa; Nematoda; Chromadorea; Rhabditida; Toxocaridae. The record is from Rfam by way of RNAcentral.
ACAGCGGUGUGCGAGUGGUUAUGGAGUUUGACUAGAAAUCAAAUGGGCUCUGCCCGCGCAGGUUCGAAUCCUGUUCGCUGCG